Molecule: non-coding RNA, 273 nt
Organism: Vicia faba (fava bean)
Lineage: Eukaryota; Viridiplantae; Streptophyta; Magnoliopsida; Fabales; Fabaceae
Source: the annotation of a GenBank genome assembly
AUGGCCCAAGAGAUUAGAAAAGUGGCUAAAGAGAUGUUGGGUGAAUCAAGAGAGUGGUCUAGGUGUAAAAAUUCUGAAUCUUGGGAAAAGUACAAGAAAGCUAAGAAUGAAACCAAGAAGGCGGUGAGUGAAACAAGAACCCAAACUUUUGACGGAUUAUACCAAUUUCUAGAAACCAAGGAAGGAGAAAAAUCUAUAUAUAGGCUUGCUAAGGGAAGAGAAAGAAAGACUAGAGAAUUGUAUCAAAGGAAGUAUGCUAAAGAUGAAAAAUGA